RNAcentral lists this transfer RNA (76 nucleotides) under Candidatus Kaiserbacteria bacterium RIFCSPHIGHO2_02_FULL_49_16. Its description in RNAcentral is "tRNA-Glu". It matches the Rfam family "tRNA". From Rfam's summary of the family: Transfer RNA (tRNA) molecules are approximately 80 nucleotides in length. Their secondary structure includes four short double-helical elements and three loops (D, anti-codon, and T loops). Lineage: Bacteria; Candidatus Kaiseribacteriota. The record is from RNAcentral.
GGCGCAUUCGUCUAGGGGCCUAGGACGCUACCCUCUCACGGUAGAAACACGGGUUCAAAUCCCGUAUGCGUCACCG